This is a long non-coding RNA of Haemorhous mexicanus (house finch), 342 nucleotides long. RefSeq lists it as uncharacterized. The transcript has 3 exons. The record is from RefSeq and is a predicted model, not a curated record. NCBI's taxonomy places the organism in Eukaryota, Metazoa, Chordata, Aves, Passeriformes, Fringillidae.
AGCUAUCUCCUGACAGCAGCCAAGAUGACCAUUGGUCCUUCCAGAGGAAGAAGAGAGCUGGUACCAUGGCUCUAGUAAAACUCGGAAUGGAAAAUGCUUCUUCUCUUGAGAACAGCUUGCUCAUCUUCAGUUGAUCAAAUGGAAUAUAUGACAUUGCCUUAUGGAUACAUGAAACCUGUGAGUAGUCCUAGCUCCACAGUCUCUGUCAUUGUGGUCUACAUUUCCUACCAUUAAGCCACUAGCACCUGUUUGCUGUUGCUUUUCACUCAGCCAAAACAUGCCACAGAAGUUCUUUCAAUUUGGGGUUUCUUUCCAUCCAAACCUCCAGUACCCACCCAUGCA